Molecule: long non-coding RNA, 925 nt
Organism: Mauremys reevesii (Reeves's turtle)
Lineage: Eukaryota; Metazoa; Chordata; Testudines; Geoemydidae
Exons: 3
Source: RefSeq, a predicted model, not a curated record
UCAUGCUCCAAAACGUCUGUUAGUCUAUAAGGUGCCACAGGACUCUUUGCUGCUGUCAUGGCUCACCAUCCAUCUUGGAGCUGAACGCCAGAUGGGAGCUGAUAGAUUGUUUAUCCCGGUCCUAGCCAUGUGUGGUGCAUCUUCUCCUGGCCCUCUCUGGCACACAGCUCCAUCCCACACAAAAACAUGGCCCACCAAGAACAAUCUGUAAUGGUAGAGAGUCAGCCAGUGAAGCCAGUUUGCAGAAUGUGGAAGAGCUGUUUGGCGAUGGGUUGGAGGAUUCACCAUGUAGGUGGCAGCAGCUGCAGUGCCUGGGGUCUCCAUGGGCCAAGGCUCCACUCCUGACACACCAGGCUAAUCUCCCAUUGCUCUCAGGGGGCUUUGGCUUUAGCUGCUGGGCCUGCGUGCCUAGAGAGAAGACUCCAGUAUUUCCAUCAGGCUGCUCAAUGGCAAAUAUAGCCAUCUACAGAAGUGAAGAAGAAUGGAAGUGAAAGAGUAAAGCUGGACCAUCCGCUGAGCUGCUGCAAUCAAGUGAGCAGAGCUGGGGAGAGAAGAGGGAGAAUGCGAAGGUGGCUGGUGGCAGUAAGGAGGAAAAGCAGUUUGGGAGCCAGGAGUGUAGAAAUAAAUAGUUAAAGAUGAAUACUGCGGGCUUUGUCUUGUGUGGUGAAGGAUUGAAAAUGAGUCUCUUUACUAUCACACUCAACUUUAAAAUAGCCUGGUACAAUGACAGGGCAGGUCUAUAAAGGUAAGAGGUCACUUUAAGGGCUUGACAUCCCAGAUUCUGUCGCUAUUGUAUGCUUCUAUCAACAUGAUCUCAACCCAACAAAUCCCUGAGGUGGUAGCAGUAGUGAGCUCUUGUCCUCUUUUUCUAGACUAACCACCAGAAAAAAGACACAAUACAUGUGGCCAAGGAAAUGGAGAGGCA